CCAAUAGCGUAUAUUAAAGUUGCUGCAGUUAAAAAGCUCGUAGUUGAAUUUCGGGACCAAUAUGUUGGUCGUGCUUUUGUACGUACUGAUAUAAUUGGUUUCUCCCUUCUGAAGAACCUUGAUGUCAUUAAUUUGGUGUCUUGGGGAAUCAGGACUGUUACUUUGAAAAAAUUAGAGUGUUUAAAGCAGGCUCGCGCUUGAAUACAUCAGCAUGGAAUAAUGAAAUAGGACGUUUGAUUCUAUUUUGUUGGUUUCUAGGAUAGACGUAAUGAUUAAUAGGGAUAGAUGGGGGCAUUAGUAUUAAAUUGUCAGAGGUGAAAUUCUUGGAUUUAUUGAAGACUAACUACUGCGAAAGCAUUUGCCAAGGAUGUUUUCAUUAAUCAAGAACGAAAGUUAGGCGAUCGAAGACGAUCAGAUACCGUCGUAGUCUUAACCAUAAACUAUGCCGACUAGGGAUCGGAUGAUGUUAAUUUUUUAAUGACUCAUUCGGCGCCUUACG
Molecule: ribosomal RNA, 499 nt
Filed under: uncultured Glomeromycotina
Lineage: Eukaryota; Fungi; Glomeromycota
Description: partial small subunit ribosomal RNA
Rfam family: Eukaryotic small subunit ribosomal RNA
Source: RNAcentral